RNAcentral lists this ribosomal RNA (207 nucleotides) under uncultured bacterium. RNAcentral's name for it is "partial 16S ribosomal RNA". It matches the Rfam family "Bacterial small subunit ribosomal RNA", at positions 568 to 774 of the family's 1533-position model. The record is from RNAcentral.
CGUGUAGGCGGCUUUGCAAGUCGGGUGUGAAAGCCCGCAGCUCAACUGCGAAAUGGCACUGAAAACUACCCUGCUGGAGGAGUGGAGGGGGGACUGGAAUUCUCGGUGUAGCAGUGAAAUGCGUAGAGAUCGAGAGGAACACCAGUGGCGAAGGCGAGUCCCUGGACACUACCUGACACUGAGGCACGAAAGCCAGGGGAGCAAACA